AGGGUUUGACAUCCCGCGCCACGCUCAGAGAUGGGCGGUCCCCGCAAGGGGCGCGGAGACAGGUGCUGCAUGGCUGUCGUCAGCUCGUGUCGUGAGAUGUUGGGUUAAGUCCCGCAACGAGCGCAACCCUCGCCUUUAGUUGCCAUCAUUCAGUUGGGCACUCUAGAGGGACCGCCGGCGACAAGCCGGAGGAAGGUGGGGAUGACGUCAAGUCCUCAUGGCCCUUACACCCUGGGCUACACACGUGCUACAAUGGCGGUGACAGUGGGCAGCGACCACGCGAGUGGAAGCGAAUCCCAAAAAGCCGUCCCAGUUCAGAUUGUACUCUGCAACUCGAGUACAUGAAGGUGGAAUCGCUAGUAAUCGCAGAACAGCAGGCUGCGGUGAAUACGUUCCCGGGCC
RNAcentral lists this ribosomal RNA (402 nucleotides) under uncultured bacterium. Its description in RNAcentral is "bacterial SSU rRNA". It matches the Rfam family "Bacterial small subunit ribosomal RNA", at positions 976 to 1380 of the family's 1533-position model. The record is from RNAcentral.